RNAcentral lists this long non-coding RNA (2281 nucleotides) under Vitis vinifera (wine grape). RNAcentral's name for it is "long non-coding RNA (VVIN_LNC004755)". The record is from RNAcentral. Lineage: Eukaryota; Viridiplantae; Streptophyta; Magnoliopsida; Vitales; Vitaceae.
GAAGACGACAAUCAUCUCUUUAUUAUCCCAACUAAUAAGAUGACAUCAAGACACAAAAUAAUGAGAGAACUAUCCUUAAUUAAACCAUUUGGCAUGCAAACAAUGAUCUUCUUUAACCAUCAUAAAUCUAUUAAAAAGAACAACAUCAUGAAAUCCAAUGUACUACUACUUAAAUGAUUGCUUCAAAUCACAAGUGGACCUUUAGGGGUUGUUAAUGAUUAUGUUAAUGAAAACUUCAAUAUCAUGAGUUAGUGCAAAACAUAAAAAUAAAGUAAAAUCACAAAAAGAGGCACACAUAGUUUUAACAUAAUUUAAUCAAACAUAUAGACAUCCUUGAAAGAGAUACUCAUUCCGGUUAUGCCAUACAAAAUAUCAUAGAGUAAAGAAAAAUCAAAUACAACUAUUAAGCUCCAAAACAUUUUAUGUUUCAUAUUCCUUUUAUUAAUAUCCUAAACUAGAAGUCCUCACUUUAUUGGCUGUCUCCCACCUCUUCUCAUCUCCUUAAAUAUUUAUGAAAGAUAUUUUUAAUGAAUUUCCUUAUCUAAUAUCUAGUUUUACUAGGAACUCCCAAUAUAUAAAAUAUUUUAUAUAUAACUUUCUUUAAGAAAAGAGCAUAUAUCACAUAAGAAUUUGCGACAUUUUUCAACAAUCUCCAUCUUGACUCAAAGUUCCAAACUUAUAAACAUCUUCACAUGUACAUUCCCCAAUGUACUAAAUUGUACUCCUUUAUAGGUUAGAGUAUUCAACUUGUGCACAACAGUCAUUAAUGGAGGUCGACAUAUAUCUUUAACCACCAAGUAAUACAACUUAGGAAGACCCCUAUAUAUUUUGAAGCAAACUCUUUACUAAUGGUACAAACAUUUUGAUGUAUUCAUGCUAUUUCACUGAUUUGUGUGAUGUGAAUAUGACUAUUGUAUCUAUUUUAGACAACGAUGAAUCUUUAAUUGUACUCACUUUAUAUACUAAUAAUCUAUUGAUUGCUCUCAAUAGUAAGCUAUAAAUUGAGAAAUUAAAGUACAUGUUGAGUAUUAAUGAGUUCAAUAUAAAAGAUGAUGGGGUUUUAAAGAAAAAUGUUGGUAUUGAAAUACAAAGAGAUAAAAAAAGCUAGAGGUGAAUUUUUAUAACAACCUGGAUAUUAAGUGGGAGAAAAUUGUAUGAAUUUGAUUUUGGAUGUAUCCUAAAUCCGCAAACUGCCAGAGCACCUACGUCAGCUAAUUGGAAGCUUGCUUCUCCCCAACGUUCCCGUGCUGGGCCAGUGUGGGAGCCACGCCCGUGAGAAACCAAGAAAAAGGUGAUGCAAAGCAAAAGCACCCGAAUAUGCUUUGCUCUCCCCUGCAAAUAUCCCUUCUCUCUUUCCUACUACCAUGAUCAUCAUCCUCAUCAUUUCUCUAUAAUACUACACCUAUUUCACACACACUCUCUCUCGUUAUCUGAUUUUGGGAACUAUGGAGCUUGCUCAGGAGCUCUUGUUCACAGUUUCUCUUGCUCUCCUCUUCUCUUUUCUUGUGGCCAAACUCGUCUCCCUGGCCAUGGCUGCUGACUUGAAGAGCGCCCAGAAUGUGGAUGAUCACAUCGUUGCCAAUGAGGUUAGGUUUGUAGAAACCGAGACUAGGGUGGAAUCUGUUGAUGGAGGAUCGGGUCUGGUUGAGGAAACUUGUGAAAUUACGCGUGGCGGUGAAGUGCCGGUUUUGCCUUCGGAGGAGGAAGUGUCGGAGAUUGUUGAAUUGCCGGAAAAUUCACCGAGGGAAAGGUCGGGGCAUGAGAUAAUGGGUUUUUUUUUGUAUCUCUACUUAGGAAAGUAUUUUCCAAGCAAUCGACAUCUCAUGACUAAAUUUGAGUUACUCUCGUCAAUUUGUUGAUUGAUCAUUAUAUAUCCCUUUCAUUUAUUAAAUUAUCCUAUGAACACCCACUUAAUUUGUUGAAGGCCCAAUACCCCAUGUUGAUGGGAAUUAGUUUGAAUAUGUCUUAUUGAUCCUCGAGGUUGGAAGUAAGCUAGGUAAGGCUUCUUAUCAGUCCAAAACUCAUACAGGGUUGAAAGAAUUUAAUUUUGAGAGCAUUUGGCUUAAGAUGUGGGUCAUAGUCAAAAGAGUAUUUUCAAAAGGAUAUUAGGAGGUUGGUUUAUGCUAUCAUCGACCUAAUCAUAUCCAAAAGUAAGAUUUAUUGUAGCAACCUUGCUCAAACGAGGUCACUUCAAAUCUAAAUUCGAGAAGGAAUUUAUUAUCUCAAUGGGUGAAAAUAAAUCUCUUUUAACAAAGUUUUGAAAACCUUUAAAGGAGGUUUG